UGGAGUAAUUGCAUUGUGCGAAAUUUAGCAUCUGAAAGCAUAAUAGAUGACAUGACUUUUCUUCUCAAUCCGCUGCCCUAGAACCGCUCCCACUGUAUAAUUGCUUGCAUCACACAUGAUUUCAAAAGGUAAAUCCCAUCUAGGUGGUUGAAUAAUAGGUGUGCUUGUCAACAAAUCUUUGAGUUUUACAAAUGCCUCUCUGCAUUCUUUCCCAAAC
RNAcentral lists this long non-coding RNA (217 nucleotides) under Ricinus communis (castor bean). RNAcentral describes it as "long non-coding RNA (RCOM_LNC002951)". The record is from RNAcentral. Lineage: Eukaryota; Viridiplantae; Streptophyta; Magnoliopsida; Malpighiales; Euphorbiaceae.